RNAcentral lists this ribosomal RNA (454 nucleotides) under uncultured bacterium. Its description in RNAcentral is "partial 16S ribosomal RNA". It matches the Rfam family "Bacterial small subunit ribosomal RNA", at positions 28 to 507 of the family's 1533-position model. The record is from RNAcentral.
GAUGAACGCUGACAGAAUGCUUAACACGUGCAAGUCAACUUGAACUUCGGUUUGGGUGGCGGACGGGUGAGUAACGCGUAAAGAACUUGCCUCACAGCUAGGGACAACAUUUGGAAACGAAUGCUAAUACCUGAUAUUAUGAUUAUAUGGCAUCGUAUAAUUAUGAAAGCUAUAUGCGCUGUGAGAGAGCUUUGCGUCCCAUUAGCUAGUUGGAGAGGUAACAGCUCACCAAGGCGAUGAUGGGUAGCCGGCCUGAGAGGGUGAUCGGCCACAAGGGGACUGAGACACGGCCCUUACUCCUACGGGAGGCAGCAGUGGGGAAUAUUGGACAAUGGACCGAGAGUCUGAUCCAGCAAUUCUGUGUGCACGAUGAAGUUUUUCGGAAUGUAAAGUGCUUUCAGUUGGGAAGAAAAAAAUGACGGUACCAACAGAAGAAGUGACGGCUAAAUACGUG